Molecule: long non-coding RNA, 2963 nt
Organism: Lontra canadensis (Northern American river otter)
Lineage: Eukaryota; Metazoa; Chordata; Mammalia; Carnivora; Mustelidae
Exons: 4
Source: RefSeq, a predicted model, not a curated record
GCCCGCCUGCCUGCCUUCUUCCCUCCUUCACUCCCUCCCUUUCUCCUGCAGGCUUUUGAAAAACACUAAAUGCAAGGAGAGGCUUUCUCUGAACUCCCUUUAUCUGCCUAAAGACAGAUCUUCUGAAAAGAGCUCAGUAGUCACAGAUUUCUUCCCCGGGAGUUCACUCAGACAGGGGGGACUGACUCAUCAUGGGAGAGGAGAGUAAAGGUUGAUGUCAUAUCCAGAAAAACUUUGUCACAAACUAUCCUACUUCUCAUCUCUUCUUCUAAGGGCCCAUCCAUCUUUCCUAAAGAUUGUUUGUUCUCCCUUAACUUAUGCCCCUUCACUUUUUUUUUACCAAGAAGGUGUUAAUCCUGAAAUCAAAGUCACUUCUUUGACUUACCCAUUUUCCCCUGGGUGUCUUCCAUGUGUACAGUUUUAUAAACUUCUGUGUGUUUUUUUCUCUUGUUAACUUGUCUUUUAUUAUGGGAAUCUCAGCUAAGAACUCAGAAGUGUAGAAGGAAAAUCAUUUUCCUUCCCCUCGUACCCAAGCCCUUAGGUAAUGCAAACAGGUGUCGGUUCCUUUCCACAGUGGCCACAGCAUCAACUCAUGUACUUACUACCCUGGUUUCCAGUUGUUUCUCCUUGUUUGUGGCCACGGGGAAUUUCCUUUACUUUUAGUAUUCUCAGAUAAAAAAUUUAUCAGGAUGUUUAUUUAUUUUAUCUAGUGUUUGAAGGUGUUUAGUAGAUGGAGGAUUCAUUUUAUUCAGUCUAUAAUGUUGCUGAAACGAGCAUCUAACCAGUUUUUCUAAUCAAAUAUUUGUGCGGCUGCUGGGCCCCUAGGACACCCAACACCUCACUGAUCGGGAAAAGGCCCGGGCAGGGAGUCCCAAUGACCAGACCCUACAUGCUCUUCUGCCCUCAACGACCAUGUCGUGAUGAAUGUGAGACGUCUCUCAGCACCACUCAAGGCAUGGGCUCAGGGGGAAGACAACCAUGGCGGAGUACUUCCGGUGAAUUUUCCUGGACUCAGUAGGUCUCUCAGCGUCUUCUGCUUGUGACGCUGACAGACUGACUAUAACCAGGUGCUCAAGAUGACAGGGAGACCAUAUUUUCUGAACAGUGACUGUCUUACCUUCCCGGGCAAAAGAAUUUCAUGGAACAAGCUGUGCCCACCUCACAAGGCUGUGGAGAGAAGCUGCAGAAUGGGGGUCCUAUGUCUGGCAUUCAGUGCUCCUGAAGGACAUGAGCCUUCAGAGCCCUGAACCACGUCAUGAAAUGUCCAGCUUCCCAAAGCUGCUGGAGAAGACACAUGUGGAGAGACACAGAGAGAUAAAGAAACAAUCUAGGGGCCUCUAGAAGUUCCAGACUCCAGCUGUCUUAGUUUCCCCAGUCUGACAUGUGAGGAGCGAGCAUUCAGAAUAUUCUAGCACCAGCCAUCGUGUUUCUACAACUGCAGGAGACAUCCUGUGUGAAAACCACCUGACUAAGCCCAGUCAGCCUCCCAAACCAGGCAAACUAAUAACAAGAUGCUGUUAUUUUACACCACUAAGCUUUUGGGUGGUUUGUUAUGGGGCAAUAGAUAACCCAAACAUUCUUUGAUUGUGAAACUAGUCAAAGCAGUUCAAGAAAGGGUGAGAUCAGCUGCACGUAACAUUAGCUAAUACCUCUCUGGAACCCAGGUGACCUGGGAACACCAAAGUCAGUGAAGGCAAUAAUCUCAGGGGGAAGAAACAGGUGUGAUGGUAAUCAAGAAAGCUCGUUUCCAUCGGGGGUAAUAUACCAGAGCUGAAGGAAGACUGAAAAGCAGGGAUCGUGGAAUCUGUGGAAAGGAGAGCUGCUGACAAGAUUUUUCUUGUCCCCCCUACCCCCCGGACUGUUCAAUAAACAAAGACAUUGGGUCUGGUGAAUUAUGACAACAGAAAUGGUUGAUGAAGCUUUUACAAAUGCCCUGGAUUCUAUGUCCUGUAGGACUAACUGCUCACCCUGUGCAGACCCCGCUGCCCACACAGGAAGCUGAUUUGUAUCAGGCUUCCCUCUAGAUUUCCCCGUAGGGAGAAACUCUGAUGACCAGACAAGGGGCAGUAAUAAUUCUCUGUUGGUGAGAGAUAUUGCCUUUAUACACCAAUGCUUUACGAGAUUAGUUAAUGUAAAUCAGUCUCCUAUAACUUUGUCAACUCUGAGUGAACUGAGAAAGAAUGAGUCCCUAAAUGGGAGGAUCUGACAGGCGGAAAGGGACCCGGUGACUCCCCCAAGACUUUUCUCUCUGGCCUCACUCAGAGUUGGCAUUAGACAGAACACUCGAAGUGUCCAGCUCAUAUCUGACCAACAAGACUGCUGUUUGUGAUGGUCACUGAUGUUGGGCAACAUGGAACCUAAGACCUUCUGCUUUAGUGACAUAAAAUAUCGGCAUGAUAGAAACAGCACAGAUUCUGGACUCUUAACUACACCAAAUCCUAAUCUCUGUUCUACAAUAAAUCAAACUGUCCCUCAUUUUAUUAGUUUUCCCCUACCAUUGUCACUAAUAAUGACCACAGUACUAAUAUUUGUAGUAACGACAACAAUACCUUAAGGGCUUACUUAGUGCCAGGCCCAUUGUUGAAGGAGUAUAAAAAAUAUUUUAAUCAAUGUUUAGUGGUAUCAUUAGUGAUUUAAAAAAUCAGGUUAUUGAGGUAUAAGUUACAUAGAGUAAAAUUCACCCUUUUAAGUAUACAGUUCUCUGAAUUCUGACAAAUGUAUACAAUUGUGCCACCACCACCCAAUCAAUCAAAAUACAGAACAUUUCUGUCACUUCAAGAAGCUCACUUAUGCCCUAUUGUGUUCAGACUCCUAUCCCCACCUCUAGACUCUGGCAACCAUUGAAGUGUUUGUGGUCCUUACAGUUUUGCCAUUCCAGGAAUAGCACAGUUGUGCAGUAUUUUCAGUAUAUAACUUUUGGUCUUGUCUUCUUUCACUUAGCAUAAUACUUUUGAUGGAGAGAG